AAAAAAUUCGAAACCGUACGGCGGAAAAUGUUACUAAUUUAGGGUCCUUUCUCCGCCAUUCCCUAACUGUAAGUCGAAUCCUUUAGUCGUCUUCCUCCUCCAUUCCCUAACUGUUCAAUCAACCCACUCCAUUUUGGAAUCGUGGCUCCGUUGCCGAUCAUUUCCAACUGCAUAAGCACCCAUGGAGACUUCCUGCAACAACACAAACUCCUUCUGCAACUACUGCGAGCAUGCUCAAGGGUUCAGUCCCUUAGAGCAACAAAACCACUCCAUGCUCUCACCAUCACAAUGGGUCCAUCUCCAACCCAACCCAUUUUUGUUUACAACAACAUCUUGUCCCAGUAUUUUUCACUUGGCGAAUUGUCAGUUGCACGUCAAUGGUUUGACAAAAUGCCUGAUAGAAAUGCUGUAUCAUAUAAUAUCAUAAUUAGUGCUUACAGUAGAUGCGGGUGCGUAAGGGAAGCUUGGCGAAUGUUUUCUGAGAUGAGGUGUUAUGGGUUUGAGCUAACUCAAUAUGUGUUUGGUGGGUUGUUGACAUGUGGGUCAUUGGAUGUUUAUCAUGGGGUUCAGUUGCAUUCUUUGGUAAUGAAGAAUGGUUUGUUUGAUGUUGAUGCUUUUGCAGGGACUUCUUUGUUAAGUUUUUACGGAAGGCAUGGGUUGUUAAAGGAAGCGGUUUGGGCAUUUGAGGAUAUGCCUUGUAAGAGCUUGGUCACAUGGAAUUCAAUGAUAUCCAUGCUUGGGAAUCAUGGGUUUGCUGAUUAUUGUGUGGUGUUAUUUCGAGAACUUGUGAGAAAGAGUUAUACUUUGUCUGAAGGUUCUUUUGUGGGUAUUCUUUCAUCAUUUUCAUGCCAACAAGACUUGGGAUUUGGGGAACAACUGCAUUCUUUAGCCAUAAAGAAUGGGUUUAAGUGUGAAGUUCUUGUGGUGAAUUCUAUUAUGAGUAUGUAUGUGAAAUGCACCGACAUAUGCUCGGCUGAGAAGGUUUUGGAUGAGGUUACUGUUCAGGAUGUUGUAUCAUGGAACACUAUCAUUGGUGCAGUAGCGAAAACUGAGAGAUCUUGGAAAGCACUCGAACUCUUCUCUAAAAUGUCGAUGGAUGGAGUAUUGCCUAGUGAGAUCACAUUUGUUAGUCUUAUAUACUGUUGUAACCAUUUGGAGAUGCCGUGCUAUGGUGAGUCCUUUCAUGCUAAGACAAUCCAAAAUGCUUUUGAAUCUAAUGUUUUUGUAGGUAGUGCACUGAUUGACUUUUAUACCAAGUGUGAUAAUUUGGAAAAUGCCCAUCGCUGUUUUAAUGAGAUAUAUGCGAAAAAUGUGGUUUCCUGGAAUGCUUUGAUUUGGGGAUACUCUAAUAUCUAUUCGCCUGCUUCUAUAUUCUUAAUGCAAGAAAUGCUUCAUUUGGGUUACCGACCAACUGAGUUCACGUUUUCAGCUGUUCUUAAGUCGUCAUUGGCAUUAGAAGCACAACAACUUCAUUGCUUAAUUAUAAGAAUGGGCUUUCAGGAAAAAAAGUAUGUCUUGGACUCUCUUAUAACCUCAUAUGCCAAGAAUGGUCUCAUAUCUCAUCUGCUGGUCUUUCUCACAGCUUCUGCUGAUGGUCUGCUUGCUGCUGUUCCUUGUUAUGUCAUUGCUGGAAUUUGUAAUGGAACCAAGCAAUAUGAUGAUACUCCGAAAUUACCUACGGUUCUUGAAAAACUUGACCUUGUAUCCUGGAACUGUGUGAUUGGAGCUUUUGCCCGCAGUGACUAUUACAAGGGGGCAUUUGAGCUUUACAAAUGGAUGCAGUGGUAUCAAGUCCUACCAGACAAUUAUACGUUUGUUAGCCUUCUAAGCAUCUGUGCUAAACUGUGCAACUUUUCUUUGGGCAGUUCUCUUCACUGUUACAUCGUUAAGACUAAUUUCAAUUGUUGUGACACAUUUGUAUGCAACAUGUUAAUUGACAUGUAUGGGAAAUGUGGUAGCAUCGGCAGCUCAGUGAAGAUCUUUGAAGAAAUGGAAGACAAAAAUCUAUUCACAUGGACAGCUCUGAUUUCUGCACUUGGAUUUAACGGUCAUGCUCUUGAGGCAAUAAAAAGAUUUAGAGAAAUGAUUCUCUUCGGCUUGAAGCCGGACGUAGUGACUUUUGGCGCUAUGCUUACGGCUUGUAGGCAUGGUGGGUUGGUGACAGAUGGGAUCAAGUUAUUGGGGCAGAUGAAAAAGGAUUAUGGGGUUGAACCAGAAAUGGAUCAUUACCAUUGUGUGGUGGACUUACUGGCUAAAAGUGGACAUGUUAGGGAAGCAGAGAAGGUGAUUUUCAACAUGCCCUUCCCACCAAAUGUCGUUAUAUGGCGUAGUUUCUUUGAGGGCUGCAAGAGUUAUGGAGCUGAUACAAAACAAGCCCCGUAAAGCAAGUUCGCAAGUAAUUUUUUGUUUUACAAACUUCUUCAACAUUGCUUAGAGAAAGUAAAUCCAAGUUCAUGUCUGCUGUGAUAUCUUAUUCGAGUCAUAAACAUUGUCACUUACUCACUUACCCCUCUCAAUGUGCCCCCUCCAGUCUCUAGGAUCUCCCUCCAGCAACCCUUUCCCCUCACCUUGCCUCCUUUCUCACCUAUUGCAAAGUGGCCGUUCAUAAGUGGCUACAUGGUCAUUGUCAUUACUUGCCUUUUGUACGAUUUGAGAUUUUUCUCAAGUGAUUUUGCAUGCAACUUUUAGGAGUUUAACAAAUAAUUUAAGUGUUAGCAACUUAUGUUUUAUUCUGCACCUUCAUCAUUCAGAUUCUGAUUCACAUAUAAAACCAAAAAUCUAACAUGGUAUCAGAGCCUGGGCAUCGAUUUUGUGAAGUUUUGUGAAUUGAGUCACAACAAUAUCUCAUUGCAGUGAAACUUUAAUUGUGUAAAGAUCUGAGUCUAACAUGGCUAGGUCUGGUGGAGGAGAGCUAAGAGCAUCGAUUUCAACGGCAACAAUUUUGAUUUCUGGCAAAUCAAAAUGAAGAUCAUCUUCCAUCCCACAUGGAAUCUAGUCGAGAAGGGCUUCAAUACUCUGGUGAAGAAGGAGAAGGAGCUCUCGGCAAUGGAGAGCAAGCUACUGCAAGAGAAUCUUGUCAAGGAUGCAAGAGCACUUGGUAUUAUCCAAGGAGCUGUUUCCGAUCAGAUUUUUCCACAGAUUGCAGCUCAGGAGACUGCAAAGGCAGCCUGGGAUAUCCUGAAGCAAGAGUUCGUCGGAGACAAACAAGUGAGGUUUACAUGUUGUGGUGACCAUGUUUACCGGAUAUUUGGUAGGAUAUGCUGCAUUCAGAGCUUUGUUUAACCACAGUCCCGUCAUGAAUGCUGCUGGUGGCAUUCUUGGAUUGGUCAUUGGCAUGCUCGUGGAAACAUUUGUUUUCAUAAUUAGAACUUCUAGUCAAGAUCUUAGAUCAUCUUCUUCCACAUUGAAGCUAAAGAAGAAUCAGUAGACUUGGUCUUUAGAGGUCAUUUGAUCCAACAGUUAUAAAUUGAUAGGUGUGUGAGAAGUAAAUAUGGGUGUGUGGGUAGCACUACCCAUUCGACUAGCAUCUUUUCACCAUUUUCGCACCCAAAACACUGUUGCUGCUCUGUUUCCUAUUUUGCUCCACAACUGUAGGAAAUAUUUCAGGAAUUUUUGGGUGAUUAAAGCUUAACAUUUUUCUUGUACUGGAUUUUGUUUUGAAUUAGUUGGAACUCUCAUGACGGGGCUGCCCGGUUGUUAGGCUCAAUCUCAGGUCCUUGCUCAAACCUGCAAAUAGCUUCAACAAUGGAAUAUUAUAUGGAAGGAGGAAGACGAUAGAGAGCAAUAGCUCUGGGAAUUGUUUUUGUAAUAUUAAUUCUUCAAUGAAAUGACCGUUGCCAAGCUA
RNA transcript from Pyrus x bretschneideri (Chinese white pear), 3844 nucleotides. It is a transcript of the gene named pentatricopeptide repeat-containing protein At3g58590, with no coding region annotated. The record is from RefSeq and is a predicted model, not a curated record. The transcript has 5 exons. Lineage: Eukaryota; Viridiplantae; Streptophyta; Magnoliopsida; Rosales; Rosaceae.